This 17-nucleotide small RNA is filed under the name Arabidopsis thaliana (thale cress). RNAcentral's name for it is "ATSL231640". The record is from RNAcentral. Lineage: Eukaryota; Viridiplantae; Streptophyta; Magnoliopsida; Brassicales; Brassicaceae.
AGCGGAGGAAAAAAAAA